UCCCUGAUAUCUUAGACGGUAAAGAAUCCGCCUGCAAUGCAGGAGACCUAGGUUCGAUCCCUGGGUUGGGAA
Molecule: transfer RNA, 72 nt
Filed under: Bos taurus (domestic cattle)
Lineage: Eukaryota; Metazoa; Chordata; Mammalia; Artiodactyla; Bovidae
Also listed under: 2 other names
Rfam family: tRNA
About the family: Transfer RNA (tRNA) molecules are approximately 80 nucleotides in length.
Source: Rfam by way of RNAcentral